UUCUGCGUUAAAUGCCACAUUUAUUUCAGAACCGAACAAGCCUCACGCGUGCACGGACGGCCGGGACCCGAGGCGCCAGCCCCGAGCACGGGGCAGGGAGGGCCGGGACCAGAGGGCACAGGGGGCAGCUCUCCCUCAGCAGGUCCCCGCCCGCCCGCUGGUGCUCGCCCACCCUCCAUGCCACUGUCCCCCUGUGAGAUUUCCCUUCGGAUAGGGCUCACAGUCGUGCCUAAACAUUAAGGUUUGCGUUCCUCAUCCCGGGGGGGCUGCGGUGAAGGAGGGGAUGGGGGGUAUAACGGGGAGAGUGCGUGGUGCUGGCGAGAGCGGGGCCAGGAAGAUGGCAAAAGUAGCCUGCAAAGCCGGGGACAUCCCGCAGGGAUGCUGCCAGCCGGGUCUCCCUCAGCGCGGUGUCCCGCAGCCGAGAUGUCUGCUCCGCAGGUUUGCUGGCCUCAGGCAAAGCUUCGGCUUCAGCUCCGGCUGGAGGAUGUGCCCGUCCCGCAGCCGCCCCUCGCCUGCAGCACGGGCAGCGCUGCCCAGCCCUGGCUGAGGAACCUGUGUCUGGUCGCUGGCAGACGCAGAUUCCCAUCUCCACCAGAAGCUGCCUCCGCCCUGGUAGAGCCUCCCCUCUCCCUUGGGACACACAGUGUUCCCUAGCCCCUUACUCUGAAAUGUGGGAUGGUACCAACCAGUCUUUGCUGGAAUGUCGCAGCCGAGAUCCCUCCUUCACCCCAGCCGCAGAUCUGCCCCUCCAUGCCCCCCGAGUGAGAACCUACCCCUCCAUAAAGGACACGAGUUGGCUUCCAGGUCUCUAGAUCACAGGGGGGGAAAUAACACAGUUUGAUGGGGCGGGCAAUUUGCCACCUGCCUGGGAAGCAGGGCUGGGAGGAGCAGCCCUGCCACAGCUCCGGGCGAGAGCAAUGGGGUGAGAUGCCCAAGGAGCUGCAGCAAGGCUGGGCAAAACCUGCAGGGGCUCAGGAAGGACCCCAAAACCCUUUUCCACCACCUGAAACUCAAACUGAAUGGCCCCUGAUGUGCAGCGAGGGGGUCCCUGCAAGCCUCUGCCCGUCUGCCGUGUCCCUACCUGUCCGUGCCUCCCAACAACAUGAGCGUAACAAGAAGACAGCACCAAGUCCCACACACACGCACGCACACACACACACACACACACAGACAGUGCGGGGAGGUGCGGCAGAGCCAAGGCGCAGCCGUGCUGUGCGAGGGAAGGUAAGCCACCAAGGCGUGACAGCGAAGCUAGGGGGGUGCCCGGGAGAUACGUGAAGGAAGAUGCUCGCCUUCCUGCCCAGAGCUGUGCUGGAUCAGCUGGCUGCUUGGGAAGCCCCAGCUGAAAGCAUCCUCCCCCCCCCCCGCAAUGGAUGAGAGAUGGGAGAUAGAUAGAGGAGAGGGAGAGCUGCUGCUGGGGAAGGUGGGAAGCAAGUUAUGGCUGGAGGAGAAGGUCUUUUCGGCAAAGCCACCUCUGCCGUGGGAAGCCCCCUGGAUUAACGUGCCAGUGGAGGCAGGGUGGGAAGGAGGUGGGCACUCGCUUCUGCAGUAGGGGAAGAGGAGUGAGAAAAUGCCAACUACAACAGUAAAAAGAAGCCCCAUUCCCACCCUGACACCCCCAUCCUGACACCCCCACCCCAGCCCCUCCCCUGCCCCUCUGACUUGCUAUGAGCCUGUUGUCCUGCUGGGAGGAGAAAGGAUGUGACAGCACUCUUAGGAAAGGGUAAAGAGGGUCCUGUGGAUUGGGAUAGUCAUUUCUAGCCCCAGCUCCUGGGGAACUUUCCCAUCCAGCAUUGGAAGCAGCCACCUGAACCUCCACGCUCCCCACAGGGAUGGGACCCUUGGCGUCCUGUCCUAAGAGGGGAGGAAUCCCUUUGGACAAGCCCCCAGGAGCUCCUAAGCUGGGAUAGUGGAGGUGGCCCACAUGCUUUUGGGAAGGACAGCCUGGGGGGUGCAAAGCAGAGGGUUGGGGAAGGGCAGGGAGCGAGGGCAAGAGCUCCGCUGCUGCUGGGCACAUGCCAGGGAUGUCCCAGGAAAGGCAUCUCUGGGGCCCCAGC
This 2057-nucleotide long non-coding RNA is filed under the name Strigops habroptila (Kakapo). Its description in RNAcentral is "lncRNA (ENSSHBG00005018393.1)". Lineage: Eukaryota; Metazoa; Chordata; Aves; Psittaciformes; Psittacidae. The record is from RNAcentral.